GGAGUUAGCCGGUGCUUCUUCUGUGAGUGAUGUCCUUCCUGCCGGCUAUUAACCCGCAGGCCUUCUUCCUCACUGAAAGUGCUUUACAACCCGAAGGCCUUCUUCACACACGCGGCAUGGCUGGAUCAGGGUUGCCCCCAUUGUCCAAUAUUCCCCACUGCUGCCUCCCGUAGGAGUCUGGGCCGUGUCUCAGUCCCAGUGUGGCUGAUCAUCCUCUCAGACCAGCUACGGAUCGUCGCCUUGGUGAGCCGUUACCUCACCAACCAGCUAAUCCGACAUAGGCUCAUCCGAUAGCGCGAGGCCCGAAGGUCCCCCGCUUUCCCCCGUAGGGCGUAUGCGGUAUUAGCCUGGGUUUCCCCAGGUUAUCCCCCACUACCGGGCAGAUUCCUAUGCAUUACUCACCCGUACGCCGCUCGCCACCAGGGAGCAAGCUCCCCGUGCUGCCGCUCGACUUGCAUGUGUUAGGCCUGCCGCCACGCGUCAUCUGAGCAGAAUACAACUACUGA
This 506-nucleotide ribosomal RNA is filed under the name uncultured bacterium. Its description in RNAcentral is "partial 16S ribosomal RNA". The record is from RNAcentral.